GGUUUCCACCUCUUUCCCUUGACCCAGCACUACACCUACCAGUACAUAUUUUUGCUUUGGAUGUCAGAUUCACCACAAUAUAUUAAUUUUGUGAUUUAAUUGGAAGCUGCAGGCACAAGAUCUGGACUGGGUUCUGAUUCCUGUGUGGCGUCCUGGACAUUGGACACUAUGUGUUAGUACAAUACUUAUUUACAUAUUUACUGCAUUUCUUGACACUUGUCUAAUUCAUUUUUUACUCUGCGGUAGUGUUCAUCAUCAGUGUGACAUAUUUUUUCAGAUUCUGAAACCUAAGCAAAGGGAGAUUUUCUUCCUUGAUUCUAUCAGUGGCUUCACAGAUGAAAACCACAUCAAAACAUUAAGGUUUUAUAGGAAUGAGUUUGAAAGUGGCAUGUGUUCAGCAUGUUGUUCCGUUGUUCCACGGAGGCAAAGGUUCAGCAUUAAUCUUCAUAUUUAUGUAAGAGUAAAUAUCCAAAUUGAAUUUGUGGAUAACGUUUUAAUGCCUGGAAUCCAAUAGGACAUACAUUUUCUAAGCAGUCUUGUUUCUUUUUAAACAAGACGUGGGUUAAAGCUGGACCAUCAAGAGACCGUUCUGUCUCACAUCUGUCUUUCAUUCUCAUACAUGUUUAUAAUUUUUAUGUUGUGAAAUAUACCCUUGCUAAUUUUUAACUUAAAAACUUUGUAUCAUCAGAGAAGUCUGUCUUCAGAUGUCAUCUGGACCAUGGACAGAAUUUGUUGGCAAUGAUGUUAAGGGAUUGCCUAAACAAGGACUGUCCAACAACUGUGUAAUGUUUGUAGUGAUGCUAACAUCCGCCUCCACCCACCAUAUUGUUGUAUGGUUUGUAUAGACGUAAUAAUCACAUUUUUCUCAACAGUAUGCACUACUUUGUGAUGGGAGCAUCAUUUGAUUUCAGCGAGAAUGAUAUGAUGACAAUACGAAGAUGGUGGUCUCUCACUCUCUGGAGAAACUUCCCUGUGAAGUAAGAACAAUAAUGGUGCACUGUACCACGUCAUGUUACACAUAUGGCAGAUUUUUUAAGAAAACCUUCAAUAUGUCCUUUUAAAACAGGGGCCCCCAAAGUCGGCCCUCGAGGGCCGGCAUCCUGCACGUUUUAGUUCUCUCCCUGGUGGAACCAACAACCUUUUCAGCGUGUCAGUUUUCUUCUUAGGCCGUCUAACGAGCCGUCAUUGGAUCCAGGUGCAUUAAACUAGGGAGAAACUAAAACAUGCAGGAUGCUGGCCCUCCAGGACCGACUUUGGGGCCCCUGGUCUGACUGAACAACUAGACAUGAAAAUAGAUAAUUAAAUAUGUAGUUUUGAAAAUAAAUACUGAAUUUGAAAAUUAAAUGUUUAGUUUGCAAAAUAAAUAUUUAU
Molecule: long non-coding RNA, 1371 nt
Organism: Xiphophorus hellerii (green swordtail)
Lineage: Eukaryota; Metazoa; Chordata; Actinopteri; Cyprinodontiformes; Poeciliidae
Exons: 3
Source: RefSeq, a predicted model, not a curated record